GCUAACUACGUGCCAGCAGCCGCGGUAAAACGUAGGAGACGAGCGUUAUUCGGAUUUACUGGGCGUAAAGCGCAUGCAGGUGGUUUGGUAAGUUGGAUGUGAAAGCUCCUGGCUUAACUGGGAGAGGUCGUUCAAAACUGCCAGACUUGAGAAUGGGAGAGGGAGGUGGAAUUCCGGGUGUAGUGGUGAAAUGCGUAGAUAUCCGGAGGAACACCAGUGGCGAAAGCGACCUCCUGGCCUGUUUCUGACACUCAGAUGCGAAAGCUAGGGUAGCAAACGGGAUUAGAUACCCGUGUAGUC
Molecule: ribosomal RNA, 300 nt
Filed under: uncultured Longilinea sp.
Lineage: Bacteria; Bacillati; Chloroflexota; Anaerolineae; Anaerolineales; Anaerolineaceae
Description: bacterial SSU rRNA
Rfam family: Bacterial small subunit ribosomal RNA
Source: RNAcentral